GAGUAUUCUGGUAGCUGUAAGCCAGGGGCGGUAGCGUG
Molecule: non-coding RNA, 38 nt
Organism: Pantoea sp. PSNIH1
Lineage: Bacteria; Pseudomonadati; Pseudomonadota; Gammaproteobacteria; Enterobacterales; Erwiniaceae
Source: Rfam